Molecule: long non-coding RNA, 525 nt
Organism: Papilio xuthus (Asian swallowtail)
Lineage: Eukaryota; Metazoa; Arthropoda; Insecta; Lepidoptera; Papilionidae
Exons: 3
Source: RefSeq, a predicted model, not a curated record
UUACCAUUCCACACCAUUGCUGCGUUAAUGUACCUUGUUAUAUAUUAUAUGCAGUCAAUGGAUGACUUGAUCUUAUUUUUCGUAUACAUUACGAUGUUAUUUGGCGGGGUCUUGGAUUUAUAUAUUAUAUGCCAGUGUUGUAAAGGCAAAAUGUCUUUGGAAUAUAACGCAUGGUUCCUCUAUCUAAGAGUUGCUAUAAGAUAUUAUAUUUCUUGGAUAUUAAUUAUUAAAUCAGCGAUACUGUGGCAAAGCUUUACUUAUCCAAUUAAUGCUAUAAUUCACAUGACUUAUUACUUAUGCGCCGCGAUUGCACUACCAUUUCGCAGAACGUUGACCGAGUCGGAAAUUAAAGAAUUACGAGAAGAAAGAAAAUAUUACAAUUUAGACUUCGAUGAACCUGAUCAAUCUCUCGUAUGAAUUUAUCAGAUAAUGUAAGAAAUAAGAAGAAUGCAUUUUUAGAUUGCGUGUUGCAAAAUUAAUAUUUCGUUAUUUAUAUCAAUUUUGUUUUUUUAUAUAAUAUGUUGG